UUUCCGUAGGUGAACCUGCGGAAGGAUCAUUACCGAGUGAGGGUCUCUCAGGCCCGACCUCCCCCACUGUGUUUUUGUGUCCUUGUUGCUUUGGCGGGUCCGCCUCGAUGAUAGGCCGCCGGUAGCUCACCGCUUUGGGCCCGUGCCUGCCAGUAACCCCCUUGACUUCUUAAUAACCCAGCAGUCUGAGAAUAUAUAUAAUAAAAAAUUAUUUCAACAACGGAUCUCUCGGUUUUGGCAAAGACGAAGAACGCAGCAGCUCGGAACAGCACACGUUUG
Molecule: unclassified non-coding RNA, 279 nt
Filed under: plant metagenome
Description: partial contains small subunit ribosomal RNA, internal transcribed spacer 1, and 5.8S ribosomal RNA
Source: RNAcentral